UUGUGAAAUUUAUUUGUUUUUUUCCCUCCCGAUCCCUUUUAUGUGCUUAGUGUCUCAUCAAGUGCCUUUUCUUGUAGGACGGCACGAUUGCUGGUGUCAUCGGUCUGGAUUCACCAUCGCCCAAAGGGAGCAAGCUGAAAGCAUAUGCAAGGAGGAAAAGAGAGGCCAAGCCGAGCAAGCGGAAGAAGAGAAGGGCUCACUGAGCAAUUCUCCCAGAUGCUAUUCGUAGGAUUUAGGACUUAAGGCUGCACGUGCAGGAGUUGGUUGGCUUUCGGUAGAUCUGUGCGAAAGCCUGUCUCACCGCUGAUCCUAGGCGUUGGCACGGAUUGGUGUAUGAAGGCUUUUUUAAGCAUGGGACGGUGUAACCAGUGACAGUGCCACCUUUUGCUGCAAUUCUUGACCUGAGACAGCAUCUAGUAUUACUCGGCUGCUUGGCAA
This is a long non-coding RNA of Panicum virgatum (switchgrass), 438 nucleotides long. RefSeq lists it as uncharacterized. Lineage: Eukaryota; Viridiplantae; Streptophyta; Magnoliopsida; Poales; Poaceae. The transcript has 2 exons. The record is from RefSeq and is a predicted model, not a curated record.